RNAcentral lists this ribosomal RNA (420 nucleotides) under uncultured bacterium. RNAcentral describes it as "partial 16S ribosomal RNA". It matches the Rfam family "Bacterial small subunit ribosomal RNA", at positions 361 to 773 of the family's 1533-position model. The record is from RNAcentral.
AUAUUGGACAAUGGGCGAAAGCCUGAUCUAGCCAUGCCGCGUGUGUGAGCAAGGUAUUCGGAUGGUAAAGCUCUAGACGUUGGGAGGAAGGGGUGUAAGUUAAUUCCUUGUUGUUUUGUCGUUACCGACAGAGAUAGCACCGGUCAAGUUCGUGCCAGUAGCCGCGGUAAUACGAAGGGUGCAAGCGUUAAUCGGAAUUAAUCGGCGUAAAGCGCGCGUAGGUGGUUUGUUAAGUUGAAAGUGAAAGCCCCGGGCUCAACCUGGGAACUGCUUUCAAAACUGGCAAGCUAGAGUAUGACAGAUGGUGGUGGAAUUUCCUGUGUAGCGGUGAAAUGCGUAGAUAUAGGAAGGAACACCAGUGGCGAAGGCGACCACCUGGGCUAAUACUGACACUGAGGUGCGAAAGCGUGGGGAGCAAAC